This 898-nucleotide ribosomal RNA is filed under the name uncultured Bacteroidota bacterium. RNAcentral's name for it is "bacterial SSU rRNA". It matches the Rfam family "Bacterial small subunit ribosomal RNA", at positions 8 to 896 of the family's 1533-position model. Lineage: Bacteria; Pseudomonadati; Bacteroidota. The record is from RNAcentral.
AGGGUUUGAUCAUGGCUCAGGAUGAACGCUAGCUACAGGCUUAACACAUGCAAGUCGAGGGGAAACGACAUCGAAAGCUUGCUUUUGAUGGGUGUCGACCGGCGCACGGGUGAGUAACGCGUAUCCAACCUGCCCAUCACUUGGGGAUAACCUUGCGAAAGUAAGACUAAUACCCAAUGAUAUCUCUAGAAGACAUCUGAAAGAGAUUAAAGAUUUAUCGGUGAUGGAUGGGGAUGCGUCUGAUUAGCUUGUUGGCGGGGUAACGGCCCACCAAGGCAACGAUCAGUAGGGGUUCUGAGAGGAAGGUCCCCCACAUUGGAACUGAGACACGGUCCAAACUCCUACGGGAGGCAGCAGUGAGGAAUAUUGGUCAAUGGGCGAGAGCCUGAACCAGCCAAGUAGCGUGCAGGAUGACGGCCCUAUGGGUUGUAAACUGCUUUUAUAAGGGAAUAAAGUGAGUCUCGUGAGACUUUUUGCAUGUACCUUAUGAAUAAGGACCGGCUAAUUCCGUGCCAGCAGCCGCGGUAAUACGGAAGGUCCGGGCGUUAUCCGGAUUUAUUGGGUUUAAAGGGAGCGUAGGCCGGAGAUUAAGCGUGUUGUGAAAUGUAGACGCUCAACGUCUGCACUGCAGCGCGAACUGGUUUCCUUGAGUACGCACAAAGUGGGCGGAAUUCGUGGUGUAGCGGUGAAAUGCUUAGAUAUCACGAAGAACUCCGAUUGCGAAGGCAGCUCACUGGAGCGCAACUGACGCUGAAGCUCGAAAGUGCGGGUAUCGAACAGGAUUAGAUACCCUGCUAGUCCGCACGGUAAACGAUGGAUGCCCGCUGUUGGUCUGAAUAGGUCAGCGGCCAAGCGAAAGCAUUAAGCAUCCCACCUGGGGAGUACGCCGGCAACGGUG